Molecule: ribosomal RNA, 688 nt
Filed under: Arthrobacter sp. 293-3w
Lineage: Bacteria; Bacillati; Actinomycetota; Actinomycetes; Micrococcales; Micrococcaceae
Description: SSU rRNA
Rfam family: Bacterial small subunit ribosomal RNA
Source: RNAcentral
CCCAUUCGAUGUCGACAGAGUUUGAUCCUGGCUCAGGAUGAACGCUGCGGCGUGCUUAACACAUGCAAGUCGAACGAUGACCUGGUGCUUGCACUGGUGAUUAGUGGCGAACGGGUGAGUAACACGUGAGUAACCUGCCCUUAACUCUGGGAUAAGCCUGGGAAACUGGGUCUAAUACCGGAUAUGACUCCUCAUCGCAUGGUGGGGGGUGGAAAGCUUUUUUGUGGUUUUGGAUGGACUCGCGGCCUAUCAGCUUGUUGGUGAGGUAAUGGCUCACCAAGGCGACGACGGGUAGCCGGCCUGAGAGGGUGACCGGCCACACUGGGACUGAGACACGGCCCANACUCCUACGGGAGGCAGCAGUGGGGAAUAUUGCACAAUGGGCGAAAGCCUGAUGCAGCGACGCCGCGUGAGGGAUGACGGCCUUCGGGUUGUAAACCUCUUUCAGUAGGGAAGAAGCGAAAGUGACGGUACCUGCAGAAGAAGCGCCGGCUAACUACGUGCCAGCAGCCGCGGUAAUACGUAGGGCGCAAGCGUUAUCCGGAAUUAUUGGGCCGUAAAGAGCUCGUAGGCCGGUUGUCGCGUCUGCCGUGAAAGUCCGGGCUCAACUUCNGAUCUGCGGUGGGUACCGGCAGACUANAAUGAUGUAGGGGAAACUGGAAUUCCUGGUGUACCGGUGAAAUGCCCC